GCAAAGGAAGAGAAGAGAGGGAAGGAGGAGGAGGCUGCUCAGUUGAAGGAGGUGUUAAGGACAAAGCUGGACAAGGCUGAAUCAGAUGUGAAAAGGAGCUCGGGCAUCAUCUCAGACUACAAACAGAUCUGUUCCCAGCUGACCAGUCGGGUGGAGAGGCUGCAGGCAGCACACAGAGAGGACCUGGACAAACUCAGG
Salvelinus sp. IW2-2015 is the source of this 198-nucleotide non-coding RNA. The record is from RefSeq and is a predicted model, not a curated record. Lineage: Eukaryota; Metazoa; Chordata; Actinopteri; Salmoniformes; Salmonidae.